Corylus avellana is the source of this 3625-nucleotide RNA transcript. It is a transcript of the gene named Ribonuclease II/R family protein, with no coding region annotated. The record is from RefSeq and is a predicted model, not a curated record. Lineage: Eukaryota; Viridiplantae; Streptophyta; Magnoliopsida; Fagales; Betulaceae.
CACCAGCUUAGCUUUAUCGUCGACAAGCAGCGCAGAAGCUCGCUCGCUCGCGUUGCUCUCUCUCACAAACUCUUUCAGAGCAAACAAAUCCUCUCGCUCCUUCUCAAACGGCUCUAGGUUUUCCUUUCUCUCAAUCUUCCUUCACCGCAUGAAACCCUAAGGACUGGGCUUUUCUUCCAGACAAAGAUGGCUGUUCGAGCCGUUAACAGCUGCGCUAUCUUUCGCUCCGCUUCGUCUCCUCCUCUCUCCGCGGUCCGGUGCCGAUUGUACAGUUUCAGCACCUUUCCGCUUCGCCGCUACUGCAAAUUGGGAUUCCGGUUCUCGAUAUUGCGGCCCGAGCGGAAGUUUUUCGGCCAUGCCGGUGUUCGGAGCUGUUCGGUUCACAGUCUCGUCGAGAGCGUCAUGGAAGAGCUCGAAUUCAUUCGCAAGAGGAAGAGAGUUUGCGCUGCCUCCAAAAUUGGAUUAACGAGCAGCGGAGAGCUUCUUGAAGAUAAGCUAUCAAACCGAGCACUAGAGAAAGGGUUGCUGCUGGAGUUCAAGAAGGAUUCUGAUAGGGUCUUGCUGGCAGUUGCUCAGAGACCUGACGGGAAGAAGAACUGGAUGGUGUAUGAUCAGAAUGGUGUCACAUCCUCCAUCAAACCUCAACAAAUUACAUACAUUGUUCCAGGCAUUGAGAAUUUCGAUCACAUGGAGAUUUUGGAUUUUGUUCAGAGAGCACAGGAUAACUUGGAUCCAGCACUGCUUGAGUUUGCUUGGGUUGAGCUUCUAGAAAAAAAUAAGUCGGUGACAACCGAAGAAUUAGCAGAGAUGAUUUUUGGUUGUGCGGAGCCUCUUGAGAGCUAUUGUACCCAUCUUUUGUUAUCAAAAGAUGAAAUAUACUUUAGUGUGCUGGAGACAAAAGGUUCACGUUCUUUAUAUGGGCCUCGACCUACUGUGCAGGUAGAAGAACUUUCACGUAGGAAGCUUGCUAAGGAGGCUGCUGAGAAAGAACUGCAGGAGUUUGUACAAUUAUUGAAAUCUGCUAAGGCAAUGCCUUCUGAAGCUAAACUUCCCAAAUCUUCUUGGAUGGUUGAAGAGAAAAUUAGACACAAAAUUGAAUCUCUAGAAUCUUAUGCCAUUGAUGCCUGCAAAGACGACGACCAAAAGAAAACAGCUGGGAUGAUCCUCAAGGCAAUGGGACUUGUGAGAACAGCAUCAACAGCUGUAAAUCUCCUUAUAGAUAUUGGUUAUUUUUCUGUACAUGUCAAUCUUGAUCUCUUAAAGUUCAAUAUUUCUACUGAUCAUUCGGACGAGAUAAUAUCAGCUGCUGAAAGUCUUUUGUUGGAGUCAUCUGAUCCAGAUGAGAAUGAUAGAAAAGAUCUCACUCACUUAAAGGUUUACGCCAUUGAUGUUGAUGAGGCUGACGAGCUUGAUGAUGCCCUGAGUGCAACAAGGUUGCAAGAUGGCCGGAUUAAGAUCUGGAUACAUGUUGCAGAUGCAACAAGAUUUGUGCAACCUGGGAGCAAAGUAGACAGGGAGGCAAUGAGAAGAGGAACUUCUAUAUUCUUGCCAACUGCCACUUAUCCAAUGUUUCCAGAGAAACUUGCCAUGGAGGGAAUGAGUUUGAAACAAGGAGAGAUCUGCAAUGCUGUUACAGUAUCCGUUGUGCUGCGUUCUGAUGGCAGCAUUGCGGAGUACUCAGUGGACAACUCAAUCAUCAAACCCACUUAUAUGCUGACAUACGAGAGUGCAUCUGAGCUGCUUCAUUUGAACCUGGAAGAGGAGGUUGAACUGAAAAUUCUAUCCGAGGCAGCAACUUUACGGUCUCAGUGGCGACAACAACAGGGUGGAGUUGACACAGCCACAUUAGACACACGCAUCAAGGUGGCUAACCCAGAUGAUCCAGAGCCUAUUAUCAAUCUUUACGUCGAAAACCAAGCAGACCCUGCAAUGCGACUGGUCUCUGAGAUGAUGAUACUCUGUGGGGAAGUUAUAGCCACAUUUGGUUGUUGCAAUAACAUUCCCUUACCCUACAGAGGACAGCCCCAGUCAAAUAUUGAUCUAUCUGCAUUUGCACAUCUUCCAGAGGGACCCGUUAGGAGCUUUGCCAUUGUUAAAGUAAUGCGUGCUGCUGAAAUUGAUUUCAGGAAGCCUAUACGCCAUGGGAUUAUGGGACUUCCUGGUUAUGUUCAGUUUACAUCUCCUAUUCGUAGAUAUAUGGAUCUUCUUGCACAUUAUCAGGUCAAAGCAUAUCUUAGGGGUGAAUCUCUUCCUUUCUCAGCCGGUCAGCUAGAAGGGAUUGCAUCAAGUGUAAACAUGCACUCUAGAGUAGCAAAGAGGCUAUUUGGCAGUAGUCUCCGGUAUUGGAUAUUAGAAUACUUUAGAAGGCAACCAAAAGGAAGAAGAUAUCGUGCAUUGAUCCUGAGAUUCAUUAAAGAUCGGGUUGCAGCCUUAUUGUUAGUUGAGGUGGGAUUUCAAGCUUCUUUAUCGGUCUCUGUGGGAUCACAGAUUGGAGAUGAAGUAGUAGUUCGAGUCGAAGAAGCUCAUCCACGUGACGACUUUCUUGAGCUUAAGGAGGUUAUUUGAGGGAUACAAAGAGAUUCUUUUGGCUGGAACUUAUCAUCAAAGAAGCGUUUUUUCCCAUAUACCGGGUUUGUAUUACUUGCACCAACACCAAAGUUGGUCUUUGCUGAUAUUUUGGGAGAAUGAGAAUUUACUUGCCGUAGCUUCAUUGUUUUGUUACAGAAUGAUUAUAACCUCUGCAACCUUUUGAAGUGCUGAGACAUACUGUCAAACAGCCAAAACAUCACUUUUCAAGAAGAAUGUUCAUAAACAUCGCCAUCUGCAGAAGCGACUGCCCGUGUUGUGUUCCAUGACAAGCAUACAUUGAUUCAAAUUCCAUCUCUAUGUCGAACCAUGUCCCAGAAACCACAAAUCUGAUGGAUCAAGAAUAGCUUCAAGGCAUUUCUCGUUCUGUAGAUUUUGAUUGAUACAUGGCUAAGGAGGUUGCUGGAAGUUUCUAACUGAUUUUUGUAGUCCCUCAUUUUUCAUACGUGGAAAAAUUAAAAAAAUAUUUUCUGAAAAAGAACAUUUUACGGAUCCGAUAAUCUAACAAGAGAGGAACCAAUAGCUUCCAAGAUCCCUGGUGUAGGUGUCAGUAUCGAUAACACUUUAGCUUGCUUUGGAACUGGGAAUUACUCAUGGAAGUUAAAAAGGUUGCCAACUGGAUAGACUUGGGGCACUCGCUCUGGUGCAUCUCCUGUUGGAACUACAAGACGAGAUUUAUAAUUUUGAUGUGUGAAAAUAUUAUUUGUGUAGAAAACGUUAUCUUGCAGAUAUACUGACCUCCGAAAUUUUUGAAAAUAGGGUAGACAAUAGAUUUUAUGCCAUAGACAAAACAACAUGAUUCGUCAUCAUAAUGCCUAAACUGGUAGUACUGGCAUAUUCCUUAGCUUCAUUUCCAUUGAAACAGACAAAGGUAGUGAUACAGGCAUGAAAGAGAUAGGGAGCUGGGGGGAUUAAUUCUGUCUAUCAACGAAGGAAUGAUUAAAAGUCCUCACAGGCUCUGGGAAAUCGAUAGUAUAUUGGGAAAUGGCAGUGGCAGGGGCACAUUGAACAAUCGCCAGAAUAUCACGAGAUUCACUCC